Non-coding RNA from Manis javanica (Malayan pangolin), 2256 nucleotides. The record is from RefSeq and is a predicted model, not a curated record. Lineage: Eukaryota; Metazoa; Chordata; Mammalia; Pholidota; Manidae.
CUCCCCGCGGCCCGCGGCCCCGCGCGCCCCCGGCCUCAGCCCACUUGAGGCCUGAGGGCCCCGUCCAGCGCCCGGACGGAGCACGGUAAAAGAAUGUCACCCACAAACGCGCGAAGGCCGCCCCCUCCCGACCCGGGACGUGCACGUGAGGACCCAGCCCCCCACCUGCAGAGCGCGGGCUGACGCUCUCCCCACUGCGCUAGGGGCCCCCCGUGGGACGCUUCUGGGCAUGACAGUCGCCUGAGGACUCUCCUGGGAGCUCCCGGCAGGCCCCAGAGGACUCCCUAGGACACCCCGGAGGAUCCCCCAGAUCCCCCCAGGACGCCCCGGAGGAUCCCCCAGAUCCCCACCCUGACGGUCCCCCCCGAGGACGCCCCGGAGGAUCCCCCAGGUCCCCACCCCGACAGACCCCCCAGGACACCCCGGGGGAUCCAUCCCCCUCUGCUACUCACCCACGUAGGCCACCCUCACUAGUGUCCCCAAAAUCCCCCAGGAUGGACCCCAGGACCUCUGGGCACAGAAGGCUGAUUGGGUGGCCAGUGGAGCGAAAUAAGUCGUAUAGAACCCCGAAUGGUGCCCAUCAGCCGUCUUUUAUCUAAGAAUGCAUAUCUCUCAUUUCUACCCUUACUGCAGUGAGGAGGAGAGGGAGACCAGCUGGCUGCCCAGCCAGACCACCAGCCCUGUGCCACCCUGGGGAUCUGGCUGGUGUUUCCGGCUACCGUUUGCAGUGCUCCAGGGCACACGUGCUCUAGAGGGCCUCGCACACCUGGCAGGAAACUGUCUCUUUUACAAAGAACACUAAGGAGGAAGCAUUCAUACUAAAAGAAGGAAAAAUGGAUGGUUUGUUCUAACAUUCUGAUGAGGCCACAGUAAUGAGCUCUUUGUUGGUGAAAAGGAACCGCAUCUAAGGAAAUCAGUACAGUACAGGAUGGCGCAUUUUUCAGUAGGUCACCUGAAAGGUCACGGGAAGCUGUGUUUCUUGGACUUAAGGAAACUGUAUUUACUACCCAUACCAGUUCUCAGAAUCUGGAUGCCAAAAAUGGCAUCUUACGCCCUGCUCAGAGGAAACAGUUAAGGUGAACGGAAGGAAGGGAGACACUCAAAAGCUGAACAAGAGGCUCACAGUUCAAAAGAAGAGGCCCAGCCGCGUUUCAGCUGUCGCAGCCCUAGACGGUCCCAUAUAAGGGCAGAGGCAGGGCGAGCAGCAAUCCUUCAGAAUUUGUUUAAUUAAACAAGCGAACAGAAAAAAAAACCAGUGGAAGUCAGCCAGUCCAUCAGGUAUUCUCUGAAAUGAUGGGAGCACCCGGGUGAUUCACGACGGCUUUGCUGCCCGAGCGAGUUUGCGAUUUCUGAGUUGCCCACCCGGGAGAGCCUCCCUGGGGGAGGAUGCCUCGGCUCCCACAGCACCUCGGAGCACCCAGGGAGACUCCUAAGACGGCGACCUACGGAGCGUCAACUCCAAAAUCCUCCCGACCGAGUCCUUUCUGAAAAUAGCUCGGGGCUCCUGUUGAGCAAUACUUGUUUGUUUACUUGUUCUAAACAGCAAGGCGAUGACACGGGACUGAUGGGCUCCCAGCCAAUGGCUGCUCAGACAGCCUGGAGGGUGGCCGGUGUCUCCCAACCAGAAAGGAGAGAGGCGGGACUGGCCGGGCAGGCCGCAGGGGCUGGGCAAGUUCUCCGCGUGACUUGCCUUCCAUGUUGAGUGUGGCAAAAAACACUCCGCGGCGUUCUGUGCUGCAGGUUAACGCCUCACGCCUGCUUGGACGGGGCUUAGAAAGAGCGACAGCAUCAUUUCCAGCCAUGUUACAUCAUAGUGCUGGGACGCGGUGUUCUAUUUUCAGCGGUUACACUAUUUCCCCGGCAAUUACGUCAUGUCAUGAAAAAAACGAGCAGGGUGGGAGUUAUCUAACUGACACUGCUUGGCUUUCUAGAAUGUUUGUUCGAUAGUUUAAAAGCACCAUGAGAUUCCACGGGAAAACAUUGAAUAAAUUUAAAGAUGUGUUCUUGCUUUUCUACUUCAUAUGGACUAUUUCAAGAACAGAUGUUUGUUAUUCACUUAAAAAUAAAUCAUACAAUGCUUACAUUAACUGGCUUAAAAUAAUGCAAUAACUGAAAUACUGAUUGACCACUGAAUAUUGUGGGGGCAUAUGGAAUUUUUCAUACACCCAAACACACGCUUGUUUUCAAAAGUUACAUGAACUUGAUUGAUUUUUAUUUGCAUAUGAAUAUAAAUUAAUAAAUUUUACAUGUAAUUUA